Molecule: ribosomal RNA, 429 nt
Filed under: Actinomycetes bacterium
Lineage: Bacteria; Bacillati; Actinomycetota; Actinomycetes
Description: Actinobacteria bacterium partial 16S ribosomal RNA
Rfam family: Bacterial small subunit ribosomal RNA
Source: RNAcentral
UAGGGAAUCUUCCGCAAUGGGCGACAGCCUGACGGAGCAACGCCGCGUGAGUGAUGAAGGUCUUCGGAUCGUAAAACUCUGUUAUUAGGGAAGAACAAAUGUGUAAGUAACUAUGCACGUCUUGACGGUACCUAAUCAGAAAGCCACGGCUAACUACGUGCCAGCAGCCGCGGUAAUACGUAGGUGGCAAGCGUUAUCCGGAAUUAUUGGGCGUAAAGCGCGCGUAGGCGGUUUUUUAAGUCUGAUGUGAAAGCCCACGGCUCAACCGUGGAGGGUCAUUGGAAACUGGAAAACUUGAGUGCAGAAGAGGAAAGUGGAAUUCCAUGUGUAGCGGUGAAAUGCGCAGAGAUAUGGAGGAACACCAGUGGCGAAGGCGACUUUCUGGUCUGUAACUGACGCUGAUGUGCGAAAGCGUGGGGAUCAAACAGG